Aphidius gifuensis is the source of this 1590-nucleotide long non-coding RNA. RefSeq lists it as uncharacterized. The record is from RefSeq and is a predicted model, not a curated record. The transcript has 8 exons. NCBI's taxonomy places the organism in Eukaryota, Metazoa, Arthropoda, Insecta, Hymenoptera, Braconidae.
UAUUAUUGAUGAUGAUUAAUUUGCACCUGGGAAAUAUAAAAUUUAAGGAUAUUAUUAAAUUAAAUAUACAAUUAUGAAUAUUUUAUAUAACUACAACUUUGUUAUUCUGUAUUACAGCCCAGACCUUGAAUAUCUACCGAUGACAACCAAAGUAUGACCAAGAUCUUUAUUGUAUGGUUGUCACGGUCUGUUUUAAUUGAUUAUAUUCUGGGCUGUUUAUUUAGGAAAUUUCUAAUAACAUCGACAAUCAAUUGAAAUAUAUUCUUCAUUAUUUUAUUAAAAUACUUGAAUAUAUAAUACGUGAAUAAUCUCAACGAAAAUAAUAGAUGUAGAAACAAAAAUUAUUUGGGAACUGGGGAUAAUUAACACACUGGCAAUAUUCGUACUUUUUAUUUUUAUUUAUUCAUCUUUUUUUUAUUGAAAUUAAUAUGACUAUGAUGUUGAAAUAAUCCAUAGACAACCGCGAUUAAAUACACACUAGUUGAUGGAAAAAAAAUAAAAUAAAUAUACAUUGAUAUGUUGAAAAUUUGUAUCUAAUUGCUUCUGAAGAUUUUUUCAUUAAUUUCAGUUUAAAAUAUUUAUUAACUUGAUUUAUUCUCCAAUUACAGUUUUGUAUAGCUGCUUAUGGCUGAUUUAAUUCAACUCAAUGAUGCUGAUUUUAUUGGAAAAUAUAAAACUACAAUUUUGAAAUUUAUAAACUCAGUUGAAUGUGCUGAAUUGUGGAUCAACUGUUACAGUCUUGGACUGGGAACUAACAAGAAACUUCUUCGUAGCAGACAACAUUUUUGAAGACAAAAAAAUGUUGAAGACAGCCAUCAUCAUAAACUUGAAAUCAAUAAUUUAGAUUUUGUACAAGAACUUGUGCUGACAUCAUUUUUAUGGACCACAAAAAAGUUGGGGACAACAUUGAACAUGAAUCUAAAUGAAUACAUUAGAUUCAUGAAAACUAAGCAAGCAGAGCAACACUCUGAUGAAAAUCAAUACUGCUCUCAAAUCCAGGGUUCCAAAAAGUCCAUGGAAAAGCUAAACUUCUGAUGAAUAUUCUAGAAUUUGGAAAGAAUUAACACAAGCAAAAUCGAUUCAACAUCAGACUCAUUUAGAUUUAAAAAAGAGGCGAUGAACAAAUAUCGAUUGAGCUCUGGUCAUCCAAUUAUCAACAGAAUAAUUUAGGUUUAAAAAAGAUGAACAAACUAAUUGGGCUUUAAUCAUCCAAUUAUUAAACUAACAAUUUAGAUAUGAUCAUUGAUGAUAACGUUACCUCAUGCUGAUGAAAACAACGUUUAUAAAAAGGUAAAUAACUUGAAUAAAUAAUCUCUUAAAUAUUAUAAUUAAUUUUUUUAUAUGAUGAGCAAUGGCUAGAGUCCUGAAUUGAAGAUGACAAACCAAUAUUCGUUCAACCUCUGAUUAAAAAAAAAAAACAAUAAAUAUAAAUCUCAAUUUUAAUUGAUAAACUCAAUUUUUAAUUAAAACUCAUUUUCUGUUUCAGUGAUGGGGUGUGAAGCUCUUCAAACGAAAUUAAUUUCAUCAAAUAAUUGUAUUUAUUUUGUUGUUUUUUAAAAAAAUAAAAAAACCAUAAUUAAAAUUUAAAAA